CGGAACCUCGAACGCACCUCUCGCUUACCCUCGUUUCAGUGCGUGUCUGUGAGGAUUGUUUGGACAGAAAGCAGUGACGCCAGGUAGAGGUGGUCGUUUGGAACGAAGAAGACGAAGCAGAAACUGGUUCGCUUGGUUUUGUUGCCGUGGGGGGUGAGGGACGACGCUGCUGCUCGUGAGCUGACUGGACAGCGACGAAGGGAGGUGGUUUGACGUCGUGGACUGGUUGAC
This 231-nucleotide long non-coding RNA is filed under the name Nicotiana benthamiana. RNAcentral describes it as "long non-coding RNA (NBEN_LNC030019)". Lineage: Eukaryota; Viridiplantae; Streptophyta; Magnoliopsida; Solanales; Solanaceae. The record is from RNAcentral.